UACGUAGGGGGCGAGCGUUGUCCGAAGUUACUGGGCGUAAAGCGCGCGUAGGCGGUCUAUUAAGUCUGAGGUGAAAGGUUCAGCGCUCAACGCGAACAGUGCCUUGGAUACUGGUAGACUUGAGUGUGGCAGAGGAGUAUGGAAUUCCUGGUGUAGCGGUGAAAUGCGUAGAUAUCAGGGGGAAUACCGAUGGCGAAGGCAGUACUCUGGGCUAACACUGACGCUGAGGUGCGAAAGCGUGGGGAGCAAACGGG
This 254-nucleotide ribosomal RNA is filed under the name uncultured bacterium. RNAcentral describes it as "partial 16S ribosomal RNA". It matches the Rfam family "Bacterial small subunit ribosomal RNA", at positions 524 to 776 of the family's 1533-position model. The record is from RNAcentral.